RNAcentral lists this ribosomal RNA (1043 nucleotides) under Pseudophialophora sp. Its description in RNAcentral is "SSU rRNA". It matches the Rfam family "Eukaryotic small subunit ribosomal RNA", at positions 61 to 1114 of the family's 1831-position model. The record is from RNAcentral. Lineage: Eukaryota; Fungi; Ascomycota; Sordariomycetes; Magnaporthales; Magnaporthaceae.
AAGUAUAAGCAAUUAUACAGCGAAACUGCGAAUGGCUCAUUAAAUCAGUUAUCGUUUAUUUGAUAGUACCUUACUACAUGGAUAACCGUGGUAAUUCUAGAGCUAAUACAUGCUGAAAACCCCGACUUCGGAAGGGGUGUAUUUAUUAGAUUAAAAACCAAUGCCCUCCGGGGCUUACUGGUGAUUCAUGAUAACUUCUCGAAUCGCACGGCCUUGCGCCGGCGAUGGUUCAUUCAAAUUUCUGCCCUAUCAACUUUCGACGGCUGGGUCUUGGCCAGCCGUGGUGACAACGGGUAACGGAGGGUUAGGGCUCGACCCCGGAGAAAACGCCUGAGAAACGGCGUUUACAUCCAAGGAAGGCAGCAGGCGCGCAAAUUACCCAAUGCCGACACGGCGAGGUAGUGACGAGAAAUACUGAUACAGGGCUCUUUUGGGUCUUGUAAUUGGAAUGAGUACAAUUUAAAUCCCUUAACGAGGAACAAUUGGAGGGCAAGUCUGGUGCCAGCAGCCGCGGUAAUUCCAGCUCCAAUAGCGUAUAUUAAAGUUGUUGCAGUUAAAAAGCUCGUAGUUGAACCUUGGGCCUGGCUGGCCGGUCCGCCUCACCGCGUGCACUGGUCCGGCCGGGCCUUUCCCUCUGGGGAACCCCAUGCCCUUCACUGGGCGUGGCGGGGAACCAGGACUUUUACUUUGAAAAAAUUAGAGUGUUCAAAGCAGGCCUAUGCUCGAAUACAUUAGCAUGGAAUAAUAGAAUAGGACGUGCGGUUCUAUUUUGUUGGUUUCUAGGACCGCCGUAAUGAUUAAUAGGGACAGUCGGGGGCGUCAGUAUUCAAUUGUCAGAGGUGAAAUUCUUGGAUUUAUUGAAGACUAACUACUGCGAAAGCAUUCGCCAAGGAUGUUUUCAUUAAUCAGGAACGAAAGUUAGGGGAUCGAAGACGAUCAGAUACCGUCGUAGUCUUAACCAUAAACUAUGCCGACUAGGGAUCGGACGGUGUUAUUUUUUGACCCGUUCGGCACCUUACACGAAAGUACAAGUUUCUGGGUCC